CGUGCAGGCGGAUGAGUAAGUUACUCAUGAAAGCUCCCGGCUAAACCGGGAGAGGUUGAGUAAAACUGCUAAUCUAGAGUGGAUGAGAGGUAGGUAGAAUUCCUUGUGUAGUGGUGAAAUGCGUAGAUAUAAGGAAGAAUACCGGUGGCGAAGGCGACCUACUGGCAUCCAACUGACGCUCAGACGCGAAAGCAUGGGUAGCGAACG
RNAcentral lists this ribosomal RNA (207 nucleotides) under uncultured bacterium. RNAcentral describes it as "partial 16S ribosomal RNA". It matches the Rfam family "Bacterial small subunit ribosomal RNA", at positions 568 to 774 of the family's 1533-position model. The record is from RNAcentral.